RNAcentral lists this ribosomal RNA (406 nucleotides) under bacterium Ellin6070. RNAcentral describes it as "bacterial SSU rRNA". It matches the Rfam family "Bacterial small subunit ribosomal RNA", at positions 29 to 478 of the family's 1533-position model. The record is from RNAcentral. Lineage: Bacteria; Pseudomonadati; Pseudomonadota; Alphaproteobacteria.
AACGAACGCUGGCGGCAGGCCUCAAACAUGCAAGUCUAGGGGGUGUAGCAAUACAUCACCGGCGGACGGGUGCGUAACGCGUGGGAAUAUACCUUUUGGUUCGGAACAACUGAGGGAAACUUCAGCUAAUACCGAAUGUGCCCUUACGGGGAAAGAUUUAUCGCCAAAGGAUUAGCCCGCGUAGGAUUAGCUAGUUGGUGAGGUAAUGGCUCACCAAGGCUCCGAUCCUUAGCUGUUCUGAGAGGAAGAUCAGCCACACUGGGACUGAGACACGGCCCAGACUCCUACGGGAGGCAGCAGUUGGGAAUCUUGGACAAUGGGGCAAACCCUGAUCCAGCCAUGCCGCGUGAGUGAUGAAGGCCUUCGGGUUGUAAAACUCUUUCGACGGGGACGAUAAUGACGGUAC